ACGAACGCUGGCGGCGUGCCUAAUACAUGCAAGUAGAACGCUGAAGGAGGAGCUUGCUCUUCUGGAUGAGUUGCGAACGGGUGAGUAACGCGUAGGUAACCUGCCUGGUAGCGGGGGAUAACUAUUGGAAACGAUAGCUAAUACCGCAUAAGAGUAGAUGUUGCACGACAUUUACUUAAAAGGUGCAAUUGCAUCACUACCAGAUGGACCUGCGUUGUAUUAGCUAGUUGGUGGGGUAACGGCUUACCAAGGCGACGAUACAUAGCCGACCUGAGAGGGUGAUCGGCCACACUGGGACUGAGACACGGCCCAGACUCCUACGGGAGGCAGCAGUAGGGAAUCUUCGGCAAUGGACGGAAGUCUGACCGAGCAACGCCGCGUGAGUGAAGAAGGUUUUCGGAUCGUAAAGCUCUGUUGUAAGAGAAGAACGAGUGUGAGAGUGGAAAGUUCACACUGUGACGGUAUCUUACCAGAAAGGGACGGCUAACUACGUG
This 494-nucleotide ribosomal RNA is filed under the name uncultured bacterium. RNAcentral's name for it is "partial 16S ribosomal RNA". It matches the Rfam family "Bacterial small subunit ribosomal RNA", at positions 29 to 507 of the family's 1533-position model. The record is from RNAcentral.